UCGCUCCUACCGAUUGGAUGGUCCGGUGAAGUUUUCGGACUGGUUCUUUCUGCUGGUUUCCAGCUGGAUUGAGCUAGAAAGUCAACUAAACCUUAUCAUCUAGAGGAAGGAA
This 112-nucleotide ribosomal RNA is filed under the name uncultured eukaryote. RNAcentral describes it as "partial small subunit ribosomal RNA". It matches the Rfam family "Eukaryotic small subunit ribosomal RNA", at positions 1676 to 1785 of the family's 1831-position model. The record is from RNAcentral.